Non-coding RNA from Oryzias latipes (Japanese medaka), 862 nucleotides. Lineage: Eukaryota; Metazoa; Chordata; Actinopteri; Beloniformes; Adrianichthyidae. The record is from RefSeq and is a predicted model, not a curated record.
CUGCAUUGGUGGAUAUGAUUGUAAUGGAUGCACAACCAUUUUCAAUGGUUGGAGACAAGGGCUUCAAGGCUUUUGUCAACCUUUUGGACCACUCCUACAUAAUUCCUAAUAGGAAGGCCUUGAGGACAAUGGUGGAGGAAAAGUACAAAGCCUAAAAGGAGAAGGCCUUAGCUGUGGUUAACAGGGCCUCUGCUGUCAGCCUGAGAGCAGACAUGUGGACAUCAAUUAACAUGGAUGCUAACUUGGCUGUAACAUGCCAUUUUAUCACUGAGGAGGUAGUUAUCCCCUGCUUUGAUUUAUGUAUCUGUUUGGUUUUGUUCAUUCUAGGUGGAGCUGGCCUCUGUGGUCUUGGGGUUGUUAAGUUUCUCCAAACCCACACUGCAGCUCACUUGGCUUAGGCACAUAAUGUGUUUUGCACAUAUGCUUAAUUUACCGCGGUCAAGUGAGCCGACAUCUGCGGAAGUGCGGUCACGCCAGCCGUCACUGACUUUUAGCAUGCGCGUUUACAUCAUAGUUUACGGUGCACACGCCCAGCGAGCUGGAAAGACUGUAUAAAGCGCUAAUAUCACCUAUGUCACAGUUACUCAUGAUCAAAUAACAUGUACUGUGCUCAGAAAUCAAUGAGAGACAUUGCAGCUCUAUAUUGUCAUUUGAUGUGCAGAUUUAUUCAUUCAUGUUGCAUGUCUGACCAUUCUAUAAUGAACUACCAACAAUAAUGUGUUUGUUUGAAAUGUAUGCAAUCAGACAGAUUCUAAAAGUGAGUGUGAACAUUAACAAGAGUGUUUUGUGUGUUGUUGAGCAUGGCAUGGAUUUGAAUGGAAUGAAACAGAAAUAAAGAUUCUCCAUGUAAAAGAUCACAUCA